Molecule: non-coding RNA, 85 nt
Filed under: Parachlamydia acanthamoebae
Lineage: Bacteria; Pseudomonadati; Chlamydiota; Chlamydiia; Parachlamydiales; Parachlamydiaceae
Source: RNAcentral
CUACUGGCAUCGAGAGGUGUCAGGAUGGGUAAACAGAAGUCAGCAGAAGCCAUACUAGUUGCACGCAACCGGUGCAAUGAAGGGC